This 611-nucleotide long non-coding RNA is filed under the name Olea europaea subsp. europaea. The record is from RNAcentral. Lineage: Eukaryota; Viridiplantae; Streptophyta; Magnoliopsida; Lamiales; Oleaceae.
UUUUUUUUUGGGUUAAGUAAAAUUAGAUCGAGAAAUUAAUUUCUAAAAUUUUAAAAUCCUCAUUCUUCAUUUUGAUUGUAUUACAGCAAUUGUAAAAAUUUUUAUGACACAUUUAAUAUGGGGAUUAGAUAGUAUUAUAAGUGAAAAAAAUUUCCAUAUCUUAUUUAUUAUGGUGUCGCUAUUGCAUAUCAAAUUUAGAUGUAAAGUAUUAAUUGGAGUAGUGACUCAAAUUCCACGUGAUUUGAAAGUUUGAUUCAUGUAGAAAGCCUACACAAUGUUGCUUUAAAAGUUUGGCUUGAUAAGGUAUCAAAUUUCAUCAUGAUUGAGAUUUUGGUUAGGAAAAUGACUUUGAAAUGGAUGUAAAAGUGUUUUGGAGGCCUAGGUUCGAUGGAGCCGAGGCGCCUGGACACCAACAACCCAAAAGGAAUCAGCAAGGUCUGUUCAGCUAAACUGGCUGCUGGUGCUAGGGUGCCUCGGGUGGUGUCGGAGCGCCAAGUGGGUGGUGCUGGUGGUCGUGAAGAGUUUUAUUCCCAGUUGGUUUUGGAUGCGAUUUUUGUACUCAACUUCAUCUAUAAUUUCAAGAUUGGACUCCUAUAUAUACUCCAUCUUGU